Molecule: ribosomal RNA, 597 nt
Filed under: uncultured Geothrix sp.
Lineage: Bacteria; Pseudomonadati; Acidobacteriota; Holophagae; Holophagales; Holophagaceae
Description: bacterial SSU rRNA
Rfam family: Bacterial small subunit ribosomal RNA
Source: RNAcentral
ACGGGUGAGUAACGCGUGGGGAAUCUACCUUUUAGUGGGGAAUAACGCUCCGAAAGGAGUGGUAAUACCGCAUGAGACCCAUGGCUGGGAUGCUGUGGGUGAAACCCUGGGACCUUCGGGCCAGGGGCUAGAAGAGGAUCCUGCGUCUGAUUAGCUAGUUGGUGAGGUAACGGCCCACCAAGGCAUCGAUCAGUAGCCGGCCUGAGAGGGUGAUCGGCCACACUGGAACUGAGACACGGUCCAGACUCCUACGGGAGGCAGCAGUGGGGAAUUUUGCGCAAUGGGCGAAAGCCUGACGCAGCAACGCCGCGUGGGUGAUGAAGGUCUUCGGAUUGUAAAACCCUGUCGCCAGGGACGAAGGGUGGGGCGUUAAUAGCGCCUUACUUUGACGGUACCUGGAAAGGAAGCCCCGGCUAACUCUGUGCCAGCAGCCGCGGUAAUACAGAGGGGGCAAGCGUUAUUCGGAAUUAUUGGGCGUAAAGGGCGCGUAGGCGGUUUUUUAAGUCGGAUGUGCAAUCCCCAGGCUCAACCUGGGAACUGCAUCCGAGACUGGAAGGCUAGAGUACUGGAGAGGGUGGUGGAAUUCCUCGUGUAGCG